Molecule: non-coding RNA, 314 nt
Organism: Pongo abelii (Sumatran orangutan)
Lineage: Eukaryota; Metazoa; Chordata; Mammalia; Primates; Hominidae
Source: Rfam
CUGUUGCAGAGCCUUCUCCUGUUCUGGACCCUAGGCAGUUUUAUUUGGUAAAGUGAAUGAUUAAAGGUCUUGGGGCCAAAAUGAUCUCAACCUAUUCUUAAACUUUAAAUGGGUUAGAAGCCUGGCUCGCUGGCAUAGAGCCGGGCGUGGAAUAUGAGUCCAUAGUGGGCCACUUUUGGUAAGCAGAACUGGCACUGUGGGAGGAACUGAACGCCGGGUUAAGGCACCCAAUGUUGAUGCUCAUUAGACACCCCACUCUUGGUACCAAAAUCUGUAUUAGGGUUCUCUAGAGGGACAGAACUAAUAGGAGAUAG